GUCCCGAUAGUUCAAUGGAUAGAGCAUCAGUCUUCGGAACUGAUAAUGGGGGUUCGAGUCCCUCUCGGGGCA
This 72-nucleotide transfer RNA is filed under the name Leptospiraceae bacterium. RNAcentral describes it as "tRNA-Arg". It matches the Rfam family "tRNA". From Rfam's summary of the family: Transfer RNA (tRNA) molecules are approximately 80 nucleotides in length. Their secondary structure includes four short double-helical elements and three loops (D, anti-codon, and T loops). The record is from RNAcentral. Lineage: Bacteria; Pseudomonadati; Spirochaetota; Leptospiria; Leptospirales; Leptospiraceae.